RNAcentral lists this long non-coding RNA (1637 nucleotides) under Olea europaea subsp. europaea. Lineage: Eukaryota; Viridiplantae; Streptophyta; Magnoliopsida; Lamiales; Oleaceae. The record is from RNAcentral.
AAUUCAUUCAGUAAUUGACGACACAACAUUUUGCAUGGCAUAUUGGUGGUUUGUUACAUCUAAAGCUUAAUUAGUGUAAUUUUAUGCUUUAAACUUUAAAGCAAUGGCUGAUUCUUUCUACUUUGCAAAUGAAAGAAAAGGGAUUGCAAGAUUUAAAUCAUAGGACAUAUAUCUACCUAGUUGUCUUUUACAUGUAUUAUUGCUUUGGUUCUUGGCACAUGAACUUUGUGUUAGUGGGGAAUGUUGAUCCUCACACUUCACCAUCCGUGUCACGGACUUCGCAAUGAAAAGAAAAACUAAUAGGACAAAACUAUUUUUUAUAGUCUUUCUUUUCAUUCAAAUCAUCAUCCAUAUUAGGUGUUUUCAAUUAAAAAUGCAAUAUACAAAGUCUUUAUCUUUAGACUUAGUUACUUUACAAUAAACCAAAACCAUUAAAUUGUACUUGCCGCAGCCUUAAUGGAUUUUCGUAUAAAGCUAACUAUUGUGUAAGAUAUGAUUUCAAGAUUGUUAGGAUUUCAACAAUCUCAACUGAAAUCAAUUGGUGUCUAGUGAAGGUAAGCUAAUUUAUUUUUUUAUUUUUUUAUGACAUUCGGUCACUAUCAUUUGAGUGUCACAACUCACAAACUUAAGAGUAAUCUUAUUGCACCUCGACAAUCCCUCUAUUAACAAAACCUUGUUAAGAUUGAAUUUCAACAAUCUCAUCCGAAAACCAAUUAUUGUUGGCACAAUCGUGAUGAGUCAGUCAGUUCAUGCAUUGGUUGGAACUCAUUUGCUACACGGGUUUUAUUAUCAAAAGGGUGAAUAUUCAAUUUUCAUAUCUAUCUUUACUAAUCCAUAUUAUUAAAUCAAUUUUUGUAGCAUGAAAGUUAUCCUUGGUUGCUUGUGAUGCUAGAAUUCAAUUUAAAAUACCUCCUAAUAUUUUUUCUGAAUUCAUUACUAAAAGUUUCCUUUUGUGAUCUAUUCAUAUAUUCUUACAUUUCUUAUUGGGGUAUUUUUUGGUAAGAAAUUAAUUUUUUUGUUUCUCCUUUUCCAUACCUAGGAUUGAGGCAGAGAAAAUAAUCAUGCCUUGAAAUACACAAACUGAGCAUUACGUUUUUCUUGGAGAAAAAAAAAAAAAAAAAAAAGAGGGACUCCUCGAGCUUUCUUGAGAAAAUAAUUUUUGUUAAAUUUUGGUCUUCAAUUGGUCAAAAAUGUUGUAGAUUGUGCGAAAAUUGAAUUCUCUAUAGAGACGGCAUCUCGGGAUGAAAGUAAGAACGAAUUCCUUUUUCCAACUUGUGGAAUAUUCCAUAUGCACUCAUGAUAGUGGCGGUUCCAUUUUUCUACAAUCCAAAAGGACAAGCAACAAGGAAAGUUUGCUUACUCGCUUUUGAAUUUAUUAUUUAUUUUGAUUUUAUGAUUUAAUUUUAAAAUAUUCGAGACGUUGUGUCACGUUUUGUAUAGUGAAUUAUUGAUUCGUAGCAUGGUUAGGUUGAUAUUCCCUUAGGGAUUUGCCAUAUUAUAUUGUGAUGGGUUUACCAUUAUUUGAAUUAAUUUAUUGUUCAAUACGGAUUCUAAUGUAAACAUUUUCUAUGGUUUUUUUCUCUAUUUAGUUAACUCUUUUACCUCUUCAAUAUCCACGAACAUCAACUCAAUUUUUG